Molecule: ribosomal RNA, 299 nt
Filed under: uncultured bacterium
Lineage: Bacteria
Description: partial 16S ribosomal RNA
Rfam family: Bacterial small subunit ribosomal RNA
Source: RNAcentral
UGUGGCCUACGGGAGGCAGCAGUGGGGAAUAUUGCACAAUGGGGGAAACCCUGAUGCAGCGACGCCGCGUGGGUGAAGAAGCGCCUCGGCGCGUAAAGCCCUGUCAGCAGGGAAGAAAAUGACGGUACCUGAAGAAGAAGCCCCGGCUAACUACGUGCCAGCAGCCGCGGUAAUACGUAGGGGGCAAGCGUUAUCCGGAUUUACUGGGUGUAAAGGGGGCGCAGACGGCGAUGCAAGCCAGGAGUGAAAGCCCGGGGCCCAACCCCGGGACUGCUCUUGGACCUGCGUGGCUGGAGUGC